RNAcentral lists this ribosomal RNA (224 nucleotides) under uncultured bacterium. RNAcentral describes it as "partial 16S ribosomal RNA". It matches the Rfam family "Bacterial small subunit ribosomal RNA", at positions 524 to 747 of the family's 1533-position model. The record is from RNAcentral.
UACGUAGGGUGCAAGCGUUAAUCGGAAUUACUGGGCGUAAAGCGUGCGCAGGCGGCUAUGCAAGACAGAUGUGAAAUCCCCGGGCUCAACCUGGGAACUGCAUUUGUGACUGCAUAGCUAGAGUACGGUAGAGGGGGAUGGAAUUCCGCGUGUAGCAGUGAAAUGCGUAGAUAUGCGGAGGAACACCGAUGGCGAAGGCAAUCCCCUGGACCUGUACUGACGCU